RNAcentral lists this unclassified non-coding RNA (274 nucleotides) under Cryptosphaeria sp. RNAcentral describes it as "partial contains 5.8S ribosomal RNA, internal transcribed spacer 2, and large subunit ribosomal RNA". Lineage: Eukaryota; Fungi; Ascomycota; Sordariomycetes; Xylariales; Diatrypaceae. The record is from RNAcentral.
AACGCAUCUUGCGCCCCUUGGUAUUCCGAGGAGCAUGCCUGUUUGAGUGUCAUUUGACUUCUCUCAACCACAUCAGUCAUUGAUGUGGCUUGGAUGUGGGGGUUUGCAGGCUUUCCAGAAGUCCAGCUCCCCUGAAAUGCAUUAGUGGUAUCUGAGCUGCUAUUUGGUGUGAUAAUUUAUCUAUGCCUUUGGUAAUGCUGGUCAGCAACUGCUUAUAACAACUUCAUUUGACAAAUUUGACCUCAAAUCAGGUAGGACUACCCGCUGAACUUAA